GACAUGUGCGCAAGCUGUGCCAGCAGACAGUUCCAGCUCUCAACAACUGAUGCACAGACAGCUGCUGUUUCUCCCUUCCCCUGCUCCCCUAAUUAUUCUCCUUCUUUCGUUUCUUCACUACACUGCCUUCAUUCAUCCCCUCUGUACUUUCCCCUUCCUUCCCUCUACUUUGUCAUUCUGUCCUGCACUUUUCCUCAGGCAGAUAUAAAGGCAGGUCUCGUUGGAGGGAGAGGGCUUGUGUAAUCUCUGGCUGCACAUGAGCACCAAUGAGUUAUUGCUUCAGCUGGAAAGGCACCACGGACGCGUAAAGGACAAACUUUGGAAUAAGGAGAGGAAGGAAGGAAUACCUCUGAGACAGGAAGGGAGGAGAAGGGAGGGAGACGCAGAAAGAGUUCGGAGCUGGGGUGCAGGACGCAGACCAUGCCGGGCUCUGUGGUGCUGCUACUGCUGUCCCUGUUGGUCCUGGCCACAGGAAGUGAUUCCAGGAGAAUCAGGAAAAGAGGACUCAACCAUAAGGACUACGAGUACCCCAACCACCCCCAGUCCACACAGCACCAGAAGAAUGACCGUUGUCCACCGCCACCCCAGAUGUUGCCAGAGCGAGCCUGUGAGGUGCCCGGCUGCCGCUCCGACUCAGAGUGUGAGCGCCAUAAACGCUGCUGCUACAAUGGCUGCAUCUACGCCUGCCUGGAGUCUGUCCAGCCGCCACCAGUGUUGGACUGGCUGGUGCAGCCCAAGCCUCGGUGGUUGGGCGGCAACGGCUGGCUGUUAGACGGCCCUGAGGAGGUUCUGCAGGCUGAGGCCUGCAGCACAACUGAGGAUGGAGACGAGCCUCUUCAUUGUCCUACGGGCUACGAGUGCCACAUCAUCAAUCCAGGAAACCCUGCUGCUGGCAUUCCUAACCGGGGACAAUGCAUCAAGCAACGUGGCAACUCCGAUGGACGUGGUCUGAGGCACAAAUACUUCAAGGACUACAAGGACUACUUAGGUAAGUGAGGUACCAGUACAAACAAUGCAGUGGGCUACGAAAAACAUCAUCACAAGCACCUGGGAUGAAAUCAACCAGACCUCCACCUCAGCUACGACCAUGACACAACUCGAGACGUCAGCCCAGUGCUGUUGGAUCUGCUCUCAUCACACCUGAACCAGGAUCAGAUCUGCCCUUUUUUUACCAAAACUACAGCUGCUACCUCCUCUUUUCAAAGCCCCGUAUUGCAGCCUGUCCUCAGUCACAAAGUCCUUUUCGGAGACAAGUCUGACGUACAUACUACAUACACAGCCAAAGAAAUAAGUGCUUUUUUUUGUCUCUCUGUGUGAUGUCCAUAAGAAAAGGUGGAGCAGAGGGUGGUGAUGGGGAAGCAGAGGAGAGCACAGCAGGGCGUGCACCAAAGCUGUUCAUCAAAUGUCCCAAAAAGGAAAUAAGAAACCCCUGCCAAUUUUUUUCUCUUUUCUUUACAACCCCUCUCCCUCCCUGCAACUCAUUAUUAUUCUCACCAACACAUCUUUUAACCUUAAGGCUGGUCAGCGGAGAAAAUCCAGACUGUGUGUAACUUAUUCUGUCUCUCUUGUUGUCAGAAAGGACGGUGCUCACAUUUCCUGAUCUGAAAUCUGGAAAGUUUCAUAGACAAAUAGAAAGAAAAAAAAAACAGCUGGAGUGGUCUCUGAAUUAAAUCCACAUGAUUAAAAGAAGAAAUGCCAUAAUGAGUGAGUGUGUGGAUUUGGAACAGCUGUAGAUUAGUUCCAGCCAACAGAUGCUGACCAUGACUUCAUUGCUGUGAAAAUCAAAAUCAAAAUAAGGAAAAAAUAUUUCAUUUGAGAGAGAUGAAGAUUUAAAGAGAUACUCCAACAAUUUUCAUACUGAAAGGUUGUCCCUUCAAUAUUAAACUCUGUAUAUAUUAUAUCUGUGAUUCAUUUCCAAGUCAGACAACAAAUAUCUACAAGAGCAGUAUGGUUGUGCACACAUCUCCUAAUUUUCAAUAAUCAUACUGCGUUAUUUCAAAAAUACUGGUCCUUCUGUUAAACUUCCCACUAUGCAGUGCAGCCAUGAUAAUAAAAAGGGCUUUUUCACCGAGCAGAUAUGUGUUAUUCUAGAGCAUAACUUGCUGCAAUGAGCUGUUUAAACUUAGGUUGUGUCUCUUAUCAAUUCAAAUGGUGCUCAGCUUCAUUGCUGCCUAUAAUAACAGGAGAAUAAGCUGUUCACAUAAUAAGCUGAAGGUGUCAAACAGUAAGCUGUAACCAUUCUCUAUAUGUGCAGAGCUAAAGUGAUUUCUGAAUAUUGCUAUCUGACUGGUGCUGUAAUGUUGCCUUGUUAAUUCUGAAUAAACCACAUUGUUGAAGUC
Perca fluviatilis (European perch) is the source of this 2339-nucleotide RNA transcript. It is a transcript of the gene named WAP four-disulfide core domain 1, with no coding region annotated. The transcript is spliced from 7 exons. Lineage: Eukaryota; Metazoa; Chordata; Actinopteri; Perciformes; Percidae. The record is from RefSeq and is a predicted model, not a curated record.